AGCGAACGCUGGCGGCGUGCCUAACACAUGCAAGUCGAGCGAACCCUUCGGGGUGAGCGUCGGACGGGUGAGUAACGCGUGGGUAACCUGCCCUAUACACACGGAUAACGUACCGAAAGGUACGCUAAUACGGGAUAAAGUUGUUGGAUGGCAUCUUCUAACAAUCAAAGCUCUGGCGGUAUAGGAUGGACCCGCGUCUGAUUAGCUAGUUGGUGAGGAAAUGGCUCACCAAGGCGACGAUCAGUAGCCGACCUGAGAGGGUGAUCGGCCACACUGGAACUGAGACACGGUCCAGACUCCUACGGGAGGCAGCAGUGGGGAAUAUUGCACAAUGGGCGAAAGCCUGAUGCAGCAACGCCGCGUGAGCGAUGAAGGUCUUCGGAUCGUAAAGCUCUGUCCUCAAGGAAGAUAAUGACGGUACUUGAGGAGGAAGCCCCGGCUAACUACGUGCCAGCCGCCGCCGUAA
Molecule: ribosomal RNA, 466 nt
Filed under: uncultured bacterium
Lineage: Bacteria
Description: partial 16S ribosomal RNA
Rfam family: Bacterial small subunit ribosomal RNA
Source: RNAcentral